UACGUAGGGUGCGAGCGUUGUCCGGAAUUAUUGGGCGUAAAGAGCUUGUAGGCGGUUCGAUAAGUCGGGUGUGAAACCUCCAGGCUCAACCUGGAGACGCCACCCGAUACUGUCGUGACUAGAGUCCAGUAGGGGAGCGUGGAAUUCCUGGUGUAGCGGUGAAAUGCGCAGAUAUCAGGAGGAACACCAGCGGCGAAGGCGGCGCUCUGGGCUGGAACUGACGCUGAGGAGCGAAAGCGUGGGGAGCGAACAGG
This 254-nucleotide ribosomal RNA is filed under the name uncultured bacterium. Its description in RNAcentral is "partial 16S ribosomal RNA". It matches the Rfam family "Bacterial small subunit ribosomal RNA", at positions 524 to 776 of the family's 1533-position model. The record is from RNAcentral.